AUUGCUUCUCGGCCUUUUGGCUAAGAUCAAGUGUAGUAUCUGCUCUUAUCAGUUUAAUAAGCUAUUGAGAGGAAACAGCUUAAUGUUUAAGUGAACUUAAUUAUCUUACAACACUGGAAAUAUUUAGAUAUUACAUUAUCAUUGGUUCUACUUCAUUGAAA
This is a small nuclear RNA of Oryctolagus cuniculus (rabbit), 161 nucleotides long. Its record names the gene U2. It matches the Rfam family "U2 spliceosomal RNA". Rfam says of the family: U2 is a small nuclear RNA (snRNA) component of the spliceosome (involved in pre-mRNA splicing). Complementary binding between U2 snRNA (in an area lying towards the 5' end but 3' to hairpin I) and the branchpoint sequence (BPS) of the intron results the bulging out of an unpaired adenosine, on the BPS, which initiates a nucleophilic attack at the intronic 5' splice site, thus starting the first of two transesterification reactions that mediate splicing. The record is from Ensembl. NCBI's taxonomy places the organism in Eukaryota, Metazoa, Chordata, Mammalia, Lagomorpha, Leporidae.